UUUCAUGUAUCGUAGUCUCGCUGCUCUCGCCUGUCGCGCGCCAGGUGAUCGACGCUCUUCUCGUCUGCGCCAAGUCCCCGAAGCAUAAACUAUUUAUGGCCAAACCCUAGAAAACCGGACCGUAGAACAAAGCCCUAGUUUCCCUGAAUCUACCUCAACACCUCAAGUCACUGCACCGACCACAGCCUCUAUCAGCGCAUCCAUUCGCAAGCUCAUGCAAUCCAAUCAGGCCAUGGAAGCUAAUCAGGUUGAGCCUCAGCCAAGCCGGUUUCAGCGCACCGAUCAGUGGAUUCCAGUAUAUUCCUGGUUAGAAUCAUUGGAAAAAAAGGAGGUAGUUAAAUCUAAAGAAAUUGAUGAAUGGCUAUCAAAGAAUCCAAAGGUCAAGGAGCAGUUGUACGCAAGACAUUCCCGUUAUCAUUUGAUGCACUAUGUCCAGAAAUGCCAUUUAAAGAUGUUGAGGAGACGGGAGAAGCAGGGAAUCCAAUUCUCAGCCCCAACAUCUCAAGCAAAGGUUCAAGUUCAGAACAAUGUGGUGACAACAGCAGCAGUUCCUCUUUUAUGCAGCUCUUCAAGCAACCAAUUGAUAGAUAAGGACAAAUGUUUAGCUAGGAGAAAUGAAGCCUUUCGUAAAUAUGAACUUUUGACAGAGUUGGAGAGCCAUCUGUCCAGCAUCCUUUCUAAACAGAAACAUGUAAAUGUGAAAGAGAUGGGUUCCCAAUCCUUGCAUAGACAAGGAUCUGCUGAUGAUACAAAACAGGGAGACAAUGUCAGGCAUAUGUCCAGUGACAGCAGAGUUGAGGCUUCAAUCGCCAUUUGAUUCCCGCAUGGAAUUAUUCUGAAGCAUCAUCUGGUGAUAUCUGUUUCUUUUAGAAGCUGUGGUGCAUAUUCCCAUGCUUCAAUUACAUCAAGAAAUAUGUUGGUGUCGGAUACACGACUCUUGCCAAUGAAUCAUGGCCAGAUGCCUAUAGGAAAACCUACCCCUGUGAAUGAGAUGUGUAAUAUGAGGCCUUGGCACUGUUUGAGCCAUGGGAAGCAAAUGCUUACUGCAGAACAUACAGAUCAACUUCCAGGCUCAGGUUCCCAUUUAUAGCAUAGAUGAGGUCGAACAGGUGCAAGUAAAGGAAGGGAUCGCUCAUCAAGGGACACAAGGAGAUGAGUGAAUUCAGCCUCAGCAUCUGCCAAUGCCUGAUGCAGGCGUGCUCUUGAAAUAUUUGCACUAUCUACUUUUCUCCUAUAGACAUCUAGACACUCCUGCUCCAGUUCCAUGAGAGCCUUCUCCCUUUCAUAUUCAUGUUGCCCAACUUCAUCCCAGAUUAGCUAUUACAAGGUGAAUAUUUGAAGAUAAAAGCAUAAAAUCCUAGUUAGUGAAUGGGUAAUGAUAUCGGAAUUGGGAAAAGAAAAACUCACUGGUCUGUCUGUGUGAACGAACCUGCAAUUCUUGAAGAAGAUACCCACAAGAGGUCUCCAGUAAGCUGGAGCUCCGCAUGUUUGCCGGCAUUUGAAAUGACCCCAUAUGACAGUGGUUGUAGUAUUUUGAUCAAUUCUUAACAACAGGUCUGAAUGUUUUUCAACUUGGGCUAGAGAAAGAGAAGUUCCAAGUGUCUUGGAAGAGAAUACUACCUUUGGUAGUAAAGAGAAAGGACAAGUGGACAGAACAAGGGCAGCAGGCGGAGGAGAAAACCAUGGAUUGUGGGACUUCUGACGGAAGUGAGUUUUCCUUAAAAGGCAAGGCAUACAACUUACAAGGUUGGUGGGUGAUGUUGAAGCUUUGGUUUCAAGUUUUGGCCCUUCAUAUUAUCCUCUUUUUUUCCUUUCUAUUCUUUUUGAAUUUGAAAUAUCUCCUAAUAAAGCUACUGUUCAAUAACGGCACACAAUUUUGCGUUA
This is an RNA transcript of Macadamia integrifolia, 1884 nucleotides long. RefSeq lists it as uncharacterized. NCBI's taxonomy places the organism in Eukaryota, Viridiplantae, Streptophyta, Magnoliopsida, Proteales, Proteaceae. The transcript has 8 exons. The record is from RefSeq and is a predicted model, not a curated record.